This 552-nucleotide ribosomal RNA is filed under the name uncultured bacterium. Its description in RNAcentral is "partial 16S ribosomal RNA". It matches the Rfam family "Bacterial small subunit ribosomal RNA", at positions 356 to 900 of the family's 1533-position model. The record is from RNAcentral.
AGGGAAUCUUCCACAAUGGACGCAAGUCUGAUGGAGCAACGCCGCGUGAGUGAAGAAGGUUUUCGGACCGUAAAGCUCUGUUGUUGGUGAAGAAGGAUAGAGGUAGUAACUGGCCUUUAUUUGACGGUAAUCAACCAGAAAGUCACGGCUAACUACGUGCCAGCAGCCGCGGUAAUACGUAGGUGGCAAGCGUUGUCCGGAUUUAUUGGGCGUAAAGCGAGCGCAGGCGGAAGAAUAAGUCUGAUGUGAAAGCCCUCGGCUUAACCGAGGAUUGCAUCGGAAACUGUUUUCUUGAGUGCAGAAGAGGAGAGUAGAACUCCAUGUGUAGCGGUGGAAUGCGUAGAUAUAUGGAAGAAUACCAGUGGCGAAGGCGGCUCUCUGGUCUGCAACUGACGCUGAGGCUCGAAAGCAUGGGUAGCGAACAGGAUUAGAUACCCUGGUAGUCCAUGCCGUAAACGAUGAGUGCUAAGUGUUGGGAGGCUUCCGCCUCUCAGUGCUGCAGCUAACGCAUUAAGCACUCCGCCUGGGGGAGUACGACCGCAAGGUUGAAAC